Molecule: transfer RNA, 93 nt
Filed under: Thermodesulfobacteriota bacterium
Lineage: Bacteria; Pseudomonadati; Thermodesulfobacteriota
Also listed under: 1 other name
Description: tRNA-Ser
Rfam family: tRNA
About the family: Transfer RNA (tRNA) molecules are approximately 80 nucleotides in length.
Source: RNAcentral
GGAGAGAUGCCCGAGCGGCUGAAGGGGCACGACUGGAAAUCGUGUGAGCGUCUAAACCGCGCUCCGAGGGUUCGAAUCCCUCUCUCUCCGCCA